AUUGAACGCUGGCGGCAGGCCUAACACAUGCAAGUCGAACGGUAACAGGAAGCAGCUUGCUGCUUUGCUGACGAGUGGCGGACGGGUGAGUAAUGUCUGGGAAACUGCCUGAUGGAGGGGGAUAACUACUGGAAACGGUAGCUAAUACCGCAUAACGUCGCAAGACCAAAGAGGGGGACCUUCGGGCCUCUUGCCAUCGGAUGUGCCCAGAUGGGAUUAGCUAGUAGGUGGGGUAACGGCUCACCUAGGCGACGAUCCCUAGCUGGUCUGAGAGGAUGACCAGCCACACUGGAACUGAGACACGGUCCAGACUCCUACGGGAGGCAGCAGUGGGGAAUAUUGCACAAUGGGCGCAAGCCUGAUGCAGCCAUGCCGCGUGUAUGAAGAAGGCCUUCGGUUGUAAAGUACUUUCAGCGGGGAGGAAGGGAGUAAAGUUAAUACCUUUGCUCAUUGACGUUACCCGCAGAAGAAGCACCGGCUAACUCCGUG
Molecule: ribosomal RNA, 489 nt
Filed under: uncultured bacterium
Lineage: Bacteria
Description: partial 16S ribosomal RNA
Rfam family: Bacterial small subunit ribosomal RNA
Source: RNAcentral